GAUGAAGAACGUAGCGAACUGCGAUAAGUAAUGUGAAUUGCAGAAUUCAGUGAAUCAUCGAAUCUUUGAACGCACAUUGCGCCCCCUGGUAUUCCGGGGGGCAUGCCUGUCCGAGCGUCAUUACAACCCUCAAGCUCAGCUUGGUGUUGGGCCCCGCCGCCCCGGCGGGCCCUAAAGUCAGUGGCGGUGCCGUCCGGCUCCGAGCGUAGUAAUUCUUCUCGCUCUGGAGGUCCGGUCGUGUGCUCGCCAGCAACCCCCAAUUUUUUUCAGGUUGACCUCGGAUCAGGUAGGGAUACCCGCUGAACUUAAGCAUCUCAAUAAGCGGAGGA
This 329-nucleotide unclassified non-coding RNA is filed under the name soil metagenome. Its description in RNAcentral is "partial contains 5.8S ribosomal RNA, internal transcribed spacer 2, and large subunit ribosomal RNA". The stretch from base 1 to 120 matches the Rfam family "5.8S ribosomal RNA", at positions 35 to 154 of the family's 154-position model. The record is from RNAcentral.